GGAUAAACGCUGGCGGCGUGCCUAAUACAUGCAAGUCGAACGCUUAAUAUCCAGCUUGCUGGAUAGAGAGAACGGGUGAGUAAUACAUAAGCAACCUGCCUACAAGGACUGGGAUAACUUCUGGAAACGGAUGCUAAUACCGGAUAGGUAAUAGGAAGACAUCUUCUUAUUAUUAAAGGUUAAAAACACAAGUAGAUGGGCUUAUGGCGGAUUAGUUAGUUGGUGAGGUAACGGCCCACCAAGACGAUGAUGCGUAGCCGGCCUGAGAGGGUGAACGGCCACAUUGGGACUGAGACACGGCCCAAACUCCUACGGGAGGCAGCAGUAGGGAAUUUUCGGCAAUGGGCGCAAGCCUGACCGAGCAACGCCGCGUGAGUGAUGAAGGUUUUCGGAUUGUAAAGCUCUGUUGUAAGGGAAGAACGUCUUGGAGAGAAUCCAGGAGUGACGGUACCUUACCAGAAAGCCACGGCUAACUACGUGCCAGCAGCCGCGGUAAUACGUAGGUGGCAAGCGUUAUCCGUGGGCGUAAAGGGUGCGUAGGCGGUUAGUUAAGUUUAUGGUGAAAGCGUGGGGCUCAACCCCAUACAGCCAUAGAUACUGGCUAGCUAGAGUACAGGAGAGGGCAGUGGAAUUCCAUGUGUAGCGGUAAAAUGCGUAGAUAUAUGGAGGAACACCAGUGGCGAAGG
This 686-nucleotide ribosomal RNA is filed under the name uncultured Bacillota bacterium. RNAcentral describes it as "bacterial SSU rRNA". It matches the Rfam family "Bacterial small subunit ribosomal RNA", at positions 27 to 721 of the family's 1533-position model. Lineage: Bacteria; Bacillati; Bacillota. The record is from RNAcentral.